This 99-nucleotide transfer RNA is filed under the name Achromobacter xylosoxidans. RNAcentral's name for it is "tRNA-Thr(cgt)". Lineage: Bacteria; Pseudomonadati; Pseudomonadota; Betaproteobacteria; Burkholderiales; Alcaligenaceae. The record is from RNAcentral.
GCGUGUGGUGGCCAGGCAUGUCGUAGCCCAGCGUUUCGUGGGCGCUGCGGCCCCAUUGCGAAAUGGCGAUGCCCUCGCUCAGCGAGGCGGCACGCGCCA